GAUGAAGAAACGUAGUGAAAUGCGAUACUUGGUGUGAAUUGCAGAAUCCCGUGAACCAUCGAGUCUUUGAACGCAAGUUGCGCCCGAAGCCAUUAGGCCGAGGGCACGCCUGCCUGGGCGUCACACGUCGUUGCCCCCCCAUCUACUCCUUCGGGAUUGCGGGGGGCGGAUGAUGGCCUCUCGUGCGCCUCGUCGCGCGGUUGGCCUAAAUGCCAAGUCCUCGGCGACGCACGCCACGACAAUCGGUGGUUGCGAAACCUCGGUUGCCUGUCGUGUGCGGUCGUCGCGCAUCGAGGGCUCGAAAAAAUUGCCGGGCUUCGGCUCGACUUUCAACGCGACCCCAGGUCAGGCGGGGUUACCCGCUGAAUUUAAGCAUAUCAAUAAGCGGAGGA
RNAcentral lists this unclassified non-coding RNA (392 nucleotides) under soil metagenome. Its description in RNAcentral is "partial contains 5.8S ribosomal RNA, internal transcribed spacer 2, and large subunit ribosomal RNA". The stretch from base 1 to 123 matches the Rfam family "5.8S ribosomal RNA", at positions 35 to 154 of the family's 154-position model. The record is from RNAcentral.